GCGGGGGAGCACAGCAACGGGUGGAGCGUGCGGUUUAAUUGGAUUCAACGCCGGAAAUCUCACCGGAGGCGACGGUUAUAUGAAGGCCAGGCUGAUGACCUUGCCUGAUUUUUCCGAGAAGUGGUGCAUGGCCGUCGUCAGUUCGUACCGUGAGGCGUUCUGUUAAGUCAGACAACGAACGAGACCCUCAUCUUUAGUUGCUACUGGUAAGUCCGCUUAUCAGGCACACUAAAGAAACCGCUGGCGAUAAGUCAGAGGAAGGUGAGGGCAACGGUAGGUCAGUAUGCCCCGAAUCCUCCGGGCUACACGCGCGCUACAAAGGCUAGGACAAUGGGUUUCAACACCGAAAGGUGACGGUAAUCCCGAAACCUAGUCAUAGUUCGGAUUGAGGAUUGAAACUCAUCCUCAUGAAGCUGGAAUCCGUAGUAAUCGCGGGUCAACAUCCCGCGGUGAAUAUGCCCCUGCUCCUUGCACACACCGCCCGUCAAACCAUGCGAGUUGGGUCUGAGUGAGGAUAUAGUCUUUGCUAUCUUCAAACUUAGGCUUAGUAAGCGGGGUU
Molecule: ribosomal RNA, 559 nt
Filed under: uncultured euryarchaeote
Lineage: Archaea; Methanobacteriati; Methanobacteriota
Description: bacterial SSU rRNA
Rfam family: Archaeal small subunit ribosomal RNA
Source: RNAcentral